UACGUAGGGUGCAAGCGUUGUCCGGAAUUAUUGGGCGUAAAGAGCUCGUAGGCGGUUCGUCGCGUCGGCUGUGAAAACCUGAGGCUCAACCUCAGGCCUGCAGUCGAUACGGGCGGACUUGAGUACUGCAGGGGAGACUGGAAUUCCUGGUGUAGCGGUGAAAUGCGCAGAUAUCGGGAGGAACACCAGUAGCGAAGGCGGCACUCUGGGCCGGUACUGACGCUGAGGAGCGAAAGCGUGGGGAGCGAACAGG
RNAcentral lists this ribosomal RNA (253 nucleotides) under uncultured bacterium. RNAcentral describes it as "partial 16S ribosomal RNA". It matches the Rfam family "Bacterial small subunit ribosomal RNA", at positions 524 to 776 of the family's 1533-position model. The record is from RNAcentral.